Pomacea canaliculata is the source of this 751-nucleotide long non-coding RNA. RefSeq lists it as uncharacterized. Lineage: Eukaryota; Metazoa; Mollusca; Gastropoda; Architaenioglossa; Ampullariidae. The record is from RefSeq and is a predicted model, not a curated record. The transcript has 3 exons.
UGAUUGCUGGUGAUAUGGACUUUCAAUACGAAGCAAGAAUGGUGAAAAGAAUGGUUGCAUCUCAAUUCGAAGGUUCAGUCUGUCUCACUCUACAUCGACGCCGAGGUUUUGCCGAGACUUACAAGGACCUGUGACGAUAAACCCUUCCCAACAUCUGUCCACUAAUUAUCAAUUCCUGACGGAGAAGGCCUGGAAAUGGUGAACCACUUACACUUCACUGUCAUGGCUACCUUCACAGCAACUAGUUUAUGUUUUUCACUUUUAGCUUGCUUUAAAACCCUUCUAGAAAUAAAACAUGAUUCCUAUAACUCAUUUGCUGUCAAACAUGUUUUCCUCCAGAUCCUGAGCAGGAGACCUUAGAUAUGCUAAAAGGAAGUUGUACAUAUAUGUGCAUGUACGUGUGUUUGUGGUUUAUCAGUUGUCCACUAUUAUCAGUCAGGUUCCUUAACUGAUACGUAUAGCAGAAAGUGGACGAACAGUGCCUGACCCACUGCUAACAUCACGGCGAUGGAACUGGAACUGAGGAGAGAAGCAUUGGGAACUGCCUCUUCCGGUUGAGCAUCUGUUCUCUGUCACAGCUGCUGCUGCAGUGGAAACCGCACAUUCAAAGGACACACCGGAACUAACGUGUUCGUCAACAAAUUCUGACCUCACGAUGAUCUGAUAUCCCAUCAUGCUUUAACUGUAGGACACCUUUAUUUCCGGGCCAGAGAUCUGCCAUGCAACUGAUGGAGAAAGCCGCCCAUCCGCC